UACGUAGGGGGCAAGCGUUGUCCGGAUUUACUGGGUGUAAAGGGCGCGUAGGCGGAUUUGUAAGUCAGAGGUGAAAGCCUGCAGCUCAACUGCAGAAUUGCCUUUGAUACUAUAAAUCUUGAGUUCGAUAGAGAGAGACAGAAUUCCAGGUGUAGUGGUGAAAUACGUAGAUAUCUGGAAGAAUACCAGUUGCGAAGGCGGUCUCUUGGCUCGAUACUGACGCUGAGGCGCGAAAGCGUGGGUAGCAAACAGG
This 253-nucleotide ribosomal RNA is filed under the name uncultured bacterium. RNAcentral's name for it is "partial 16S ribosomal RNA". It matches the Rfam family "Bacterial small subunit ribosomal RNA", at positions 524 to 776 of the family's 1533-position model. The record is from RNAcentral.